UAGCUGACCUCUGUCCAAUUGACCCUGUUUGUCACUGUGGUGAUUGUUGCAGGGGUCAUGCC
MicroRNA precursor from Oreochromis aureus, 62 nucleotides. NCBI's taxonomy places the organism in Eukaryota, Metazoa, Chordata, Actinopteri, Cichliformes, Cichlidae. The record is from Ensembl.